CAGCAGCCGCGGGAAUACGGAGGGUGCAAGCGUUAAUCGGAAUUACUGGGCGUAAAGCGCACGCAGGCGGUUUGUUAAGUCAGAUGUGAAAUCCCCGAGCUUAACUUGGGAACUGCAUUUGAAACUGGCAAGCUAGAGUCUUGUAGAGGGGGGUAGAAUUCCAGGUGUAGCGGUGAAAUGCGUAGAGAUCUGGAGGAAUACCGGUGGCGAAGGCGGCCCCCUGGACAAAGACUGACGCUCAGGUGCGAAAGCGUGGGGAGCAAACAGGAUUAGAUACCCCGGUAGUCCCUGUCUCUUAUAC
Molecule: ribosomal RNA, 301 nt
Filed under: uncultured bacterium
Lineage: Bacteria
Description: partial 16S ribosomal RNA
Rfam family: Bacterial small subunit ribosomal RNA
Source: RNAcentral